This 73-nucleotide transfer RNA is filed under the name Mesocricetus auratus (golden hamster). It matches the Rfam family "tRNA". From Rfam's summary of the family: Transfer RNA (tRNA) molecules are approximately 80 nucleotides in length. Their secondary structure includes four short double-helical elements and three loops (D, anti-codon, and T loops). Lineage: Eukaryota; Metazoa; Chordata; Mammalia; Rodentia; Cricetidae. The record is from Rfam by way of RNAcentral.
UGUGAUGUAGCUCAAUUGGUAGAGUGCUUGCCCGGCAUGCACAAACCCCUGGGUUCAAUCCCCGCCACCACAU